GCUUUCAUUUCCAAUGGCAAACAAGAUGAGAACAUAAUGCCUAAAUACCUGUGAGGGCUCUCAUAAACAGCACAAGGCCUUUCCACAUAACUUAAAAAAGAAAAAUUCAUCUGGUCUUCUUUAGGCUCUUCUUUAGGCUACUGGCUAGCCUCACAGUUUGCACCUUUAAUAUUUAAUGUACUUGCUUCAAAUGCAGCCCAUCUGUGACUUGCAAAUUACCAAUUAACUGUAACAGCCUGACAUCUCUAAGACGCAGUGCUAAAUCUCCACAGUUGUGCAAGCGCGCUCCAAAAUGUGGCCUGCAGACACGAUCCUCUGGCAUCCAGACCUGAAAGCCGACUGGAGCUCAGUGUGACCCUCUGCUUUCCUUCUUGAGUCCCUCAGGAUGCCAACUGGUGACGGACAAGCACGCUCGCCCCAGAUGUCCUGCCCCAGGCCACCGCCACAGCCCAGAGUCCUUCGGCAGAUUCAGUUCUGCUGCUCGCUGUUGUUUUCCUUGCCUGCACCGACUGACUGUGAAUCUUAAUAGCUUGGCUGAGAUAAGGGAGGAUUCUCAGCCUUUCUUCCCCGAGUUAACGACAGCAUGCCUGUUAAUAUGGGAUAAGCUCAAUACAAAAGAGCUCUUUAGCCAAGCUAAAGCAAACCAAAAGAUUUCAAGGACAUUUCAUGCAGAUUCCUAGGAGAAAAUCGUUCCUGUACUUACCUCUCAACAUUUAAACCUUAAACCUGAGAGUCCCUAACUCUCAUUUUGUUAUCUGAGACAAAGGAAAGGCACUGGAGAAGUGGUUUCCUUGUCUCUCAUCUCACCUGCCUUUUCUUCAACCCGCAGCAAAACAGCAAGAAACGCAGUAUAAACAGCAUUUUUCAUUUAUUUUGUGUUUUUCCUUCAAAUGUACUAUGCAGAAUGCAAUCGAAAGGAAGUAGCUGACACAGACAUAUGACUUAAUAACUAAAAAGUUUGGUAAAGGUUUAUCUUUAUAUUAGUUGUAAAAAUCAGGUCAAUUCUGUGAGCUCUAAUGUGCCUCGACAAUGUAGUCACCAGCAGCUCUGUGUGAUACUGGUGGGAUUCCCAUCAAGAUCUACAAACCAAGAUUUUAAGGUUGCUUGUGCUGUUCUAGAUAUUUCAGAUGGGCCCACAGAGCCAAAAACGCAGAAAAAAAGAAAUGUUUGUAUAUGAAAUGUUUAUAUAGCACUCUAGAAGUAGAGCAUUGUUGAGGACUGGCUCGCUGCGCGUAAUCACAUUGAUAUCAUGCAGCUGCAAGAUAAGGAAAUGGCGGAUUACCGCACCCAGCUGGUCUAGAGAAACAAGAGCAAAGACACGUACGCAAGGCUUGUCUGGGAACUCUUGUGAGAAAUCCCAGGCAAUUAGAAACAAUGAUAGUAGAGGGCAUACUGCCCUGGGAG
RNAcentral lists this long non-coding RNA (1404 nucleotides) under Anser brachyrhynchus (Pink-footed goose). Its description in RNAcentral is "lncRNA (ENSABRG00000016516.1)". The record is from RNAcentral. Lineage: Eukaryota; Metazoa; Chordata; Aves; Anseriformes; Anatidae.